This 142-nucleotide small RNA is filed under the name Paenibacillus swuensis. RNAcentral's name for it is "c-di-AMP sequence". It matches the Rfam family "c-di-AMP riboswitch aptamer (ydaO/yuaA leader)". From Rfam's summary of the family: This family represents a conserved RNA structure found upstream of the ydaO and yuaA genes in Bacillus subtilis and related genes in other bacteria. The ydaO/yuaA element is thought to act as a genetic "off" switch for the ydaO and yuaA genes in its native state. The record is from Rfam by way of RNAcentral. Lineage: Bacteria; Bacillati; Bacillota; Bacilli; Caryophanales; Paenibacillaceae.
ACAACAUAAAGGCCGAAGCUCUUAAUGAAGCACGGGGAACCCAUGUAUUUGGAUUUGGGGUGAAGCCGAUCUUUCCGCGGCGGGGCAUUCUCUUUUCGUCCUAACCCGACAGCUAACCUCGCAGGCCAAUUCGAAGGGAGAA